AUGAUUGAAAAUUGAUCUUUUACAUAUUUCGCUACUGAAAUUACAUUGAUUCAAGUAUCCAUGUUAACAUCUAUGGCUUGAAAAAUACACAAGACAGAAACUAUAGAAGGGUUCCACCCGAGACAUACUCGGUGCAGGCCAGCGCAACCAAACCCAACAUGGCAAAUCUACCGUUCCACAUCUCAGCAUCAGAUGUCAUGACGCCCUCUGACUUGGAUUCCGCGCUGACCCCUUUGAAUAGUGGGAUCAAAGACGCGACAGAGAGCAGAAUACUUGUUCCGACGAACCACGAGACUCCACCGUUAGAUAUCUGAGAAAAAAGGUCUUGGCCCUUGGACAGUUCCACUGCCAUUGCAGCGACAAAGCCUAUCAUGGCAAGCCUGCCAUUGAUCCUCUCUGGUGCGGGUCCGCUAAAUGCCAACACAUCAGCGAAUUUUGUGCUGACCUGUUAAUCGUCAUCAUGCGUGCGUUUACAUUAGAAGUGUAAGCAUAAUUGAAAUCAAAAUGUCCAUGCUCUACUUAAAUUGUUAAAAUUAAACAUUUCCGAAAUAACUCUACCAGAUAAUUAAUCCUGUACCUUUGGCUUAGGAGGAGGACUUGGCUCUGCUGACAUAUUCUGCUCAUCCUGCAAAUUGAACCAAAUGUUAACACAAUCCUAAGAACCAUCACCUAAACUAUAUACAAAGGAAGUCGAGAUGGAAUCCAAAUUACUCACCAGCUCGGCCUUGCACUGCAACCGUUUGCCAGCACUGCCACGUAGUCGUGGCACAUACGUAGCAGAAAACAAGUUGCUCACUCGAGACCGGUUUUUCACCAGACUACUGGCCACUGGAGAUGCAAGGACGGUCUGCAUGACUGUUGAUGUGGCCAUCACUUAGAACAAUGUUUAUCACUCGAUCUGUGAUUAAGAAACUUAAUCAAUAUCUAAACUGUGAAAGCUAUUCGAAUGCUAGAGGCAGCGUUCAGUAAGAAAUAUCACUACCAGUGAGUUGAAGCUGGAGCUUUUUGCUUUGUAAUGAUGAAUAUUUAAUGAAUCUGACGGUGGUUUGGUAGGCUGUUAUAUAGCCGAUGGGGCAAGAGAGGAGCGGGCAUUUUGCUUCCACGUCAUCUAUAUCUAAUGAAAAGGCUGAUUGAAUCACGUGGCUUCGGUUGUCUUCACACGGUCAAGAGUGGGUUACGUGGCCUCCUCACAGUCACUAGUGGAUCCCCACCCAAUUUAAGAAUCUGAGGCCAAUGUUGUUCUGGGACCACGGCAUAGCAAUCGAACUGGACUCAGCCACGAUUUUACCGCAUUAAUUUGACACGUUCAAUCACAUAACCUGACAAACCAAUAUUAAUAGUAAUAUAAAAAACUUAUGAUGUAACAAAACAUUUAUGAUGCUUAUGAUUUUUUCUUCUUUUUAUAUUUGUUUUUUAUGUUAUAAAUACUCCAUAAUUAAAAUUUUAAGCAAAAGUAAGUGUGUGAUUUAUAGAACAAUACAAAUAUUUUAUGUAAAAGUAUUUUUUAAAGAGAAAAUUAUCUUGAGUAUCGUAUAGUUUAUUUAAUUUUAUAUUUUGUUUUUAUUAUUUUAAAAAUUACUGAAAUUAUUCUUGAUCAACCGAAAAUUUUAAAUCGAUUGAAAUGAUCAAAUUAACCUCUACCUGUUGUAAUUCCUUAAAAUUUUGUUGCUUGUUGGGUGCUAUUAUAACUAUGGUAAAAACAUAUUGUUGAUCAAGACAUGGUCACAAAAAAGAUAAGGAAAAUUUUUCUUGGGAGAGAAACAUUGAGAUGCUCGUCAUGAAAGACUUUCAAAGGUAGAUCACAAAGUUGACUUAUAGGUUAAAGGAUAAGGGUUUAUAAAACCAAAAUUAGAAGAGUGAUCAUGGAUUCCUAGCCAAUACUGAAAACCAAAGGCAUGAUCAUAUAUAAAAUAUAACCUCUUGAUUAGGAAGAGAUUAAAUUUAGGAAUUUUUUGUUUCACAUUAAAAUCCCUAAAUUCACAAGAACUUCACAAGUAAAGGAUUUCAUAGAACAGAUAAAUAGGGUAAAAUGAAUUUUUUAGUAUAAUGAGGUUCUCAAAUAGAUGUGAGGGAAGUUGAUGGUGAUUAGAUUAAAAGGUAGAGUUUCUGUUUAAUGAGAAUAGUUAAAAGAAAUCGAGAGAGGCAUGAAAAGCUGAGAAUAGUAAUUUAGAAAAGAUGAAGAAGAAACUAAAAGAACACUUCCUUCCAUUUGGCUAUGCCCAAACCCUGUACAAAAGGUUUCAUAUGUUAAAACAAAUAGACAUCAAGUCAUAGUUUUGGUUUAGUUUUCAGGAUUUGUUGUUAUAGUUGUGGUGAGUUAAGGCAUCAAGCUAAUGAGAAUGCAUUAAAAAACCAGAAAGUUAUAUAGAAAAAAAUAUGUUGAUAGAGGAACCUGCAAAUAAUAUGGCUGAUCUUAUUUAAAAUGACUCUAACAACAGUGAAUAGACUUUAAAUGGGGAUAGCAGUACUACACUAGUUGUCUGAAAAAUCAUGUUGUCACCCGAUGGUGAUUAAUGAUAGAAUUGGUUGUGUUCUAAAAUCUUCCAAAUAACGUGUAUUGUUAACAACAAGAUAUGCAAUCUAAUCAUCUUCGAUAGUAGUUAUGAGAAUAUAGUGUUAGUUGAAGUGGUAGAAAAAUUACAGCUUAACAUAGAAAAACUCUUCAUCCCUUCAAACUAAAAUAGCUGAAUGAAACAACAAGGUAAUAACGGACAAGGGCUAUUUUAUUUUGUUUUUCAUAAGCAAGAUUAUAUAUUUUAAUAAUAUUUGGCAUGAUGUGGUGGCUAUAGAUGUGUAUCAUAUACUUUUGGACAGACCAUAACAAUAUGAAAGAAAUGUCGUGCAUGAUGGAAGCUGUAAUACAAAUACCCUUACUAUAACAAGGAAAAUAUGGUAAUGACUCCUAGAAAGAGGAGGCAAUUGUUGAAGAUAAGGGUAAAAAUAAGUUGUUUUUAUAUAGAUUUACGGAGAACAAGAAUAAAAAAAAAAGAAUGUGAAGGAGGUGAAGAGGGUAAAGGUCUAUUGUGGAAUAAGUUAAUUAAAAUGAGUAGUGGUUUUGUCAAGAUCAAGGGUGGUAUUUUGAAAAGUUAAUUAUUUUUUUCCCUACUUUAUCUAAGUUGAUUACAUGACAAAAGUCUAAAAAUGGUUGAUGACAGCGACAUGGUUAUGACCAAAACUUGAGGAUGAGUUUUUCCUAACCCAAAUGAUAUAGGUAUGUUUGCAAAGAUUAGGAGUUCUAAGCAGUUAUAUAAAGAUUUUCCUAAAACAAAUUAUGUGGAUGACCUAAUAUAUAUUUUCAUGAAUUGAUGGGACAGGUCUCGGUCAAAGAAAAGGUUUGGCCACGCCAAACUGAGAUAAUAGCUUAAAAUGAUGAUUAUAGAACAUUUUACCGUUGUAUUGGAUUUAAAUUUUAUAGGAGAUUUUUCAUGCUAUUUUUCUAUAAAAGCUACUACAUUACUUACUAGACCAUAGAACAUCCCAAUAUUAGGACUUAAAGUUAUUGUUUGGACUACUUUUUUUUAUUUUUGCUAGAUAUUUUUGGAUUUUGUGUUAAUUUCCUUUACUUGUUAGGAUUUUCAUUUUAAUUUUAAUUUUAAUUUUCUAGUUUAGGUCAUUUUUUUAACCUAUAAAAAAGCAUUGUAAAUCUCUUUAUAAGGCAUACUUGGUCAAAUUAUUAUUUCAUAAAUAAAAUAAGUUUCAACUCUAAUUCAGUCUCUCUUUAUGUGUUGUUAUUAUUUUAGUGUGCUUUUAUCUACAUUAAUAGGCUAGAUAUUUUACUUGCUUGUUGUUUUGGCUACUUCAGUGCACAUCUAUCUUUAUUAAAAUCCAUUAAGGUGAGUAAAAAAUGCAGAAAAAAAUAAAAGAAAAAUUAUCCUGAUUAUUCUAUAAUUUACUCAAUUUUACACAUUGUCUCUAUAGUUUUGAAAAUUUCAGAAAGUAUUUUGAAUUUAUAUGUUCAUAACACUUUACACGAUGCUAAAAAAAUCAACAAAAAAGGUUUAACUAUUUACAAGAUUGGUUUUGUAUUUUUUUUAAUGACUAAACAACGUUAGUAUAUCAAAAUAAUAAAAAUACCCUUAAAUAAAAAAUGGCAAUCCAAUAAAUAUAGCAUAUAUUCAGAGCUUGAAAUUUUGUGAAGCAUUUUAACAAACACAUCGUAUGUUACUUCAACUUUUCAAAUCCUCAUCCUCAAAUCAUAAAGUCCAAAACCUUGUUCUUCAUUUUCUCCUUCUAGAAUCUAGCCAACUAAACCUAACAAAUCUCCUCUAUUAAAGCACCAAUUUUGCCACCACUCAAACCUAACAUAAGUCUUUCUACUGUUGUUUUCUAAAAGCUCAUUGACUUUCAAAGCACAAGAACACCACUAAAUUUUUAGGCUAAAAUAAUAAUGUCAAAGCUCCAACCAACUUUUAUUAUCUAGAUAUAAUGAAGUUUUUUUGGCAAGAAGAAGAGAUGCAUAUUUGCACAACCAAGCUAGGAAUGCUUUAUUGUCUACUAGAUGUAGAUCUACACCAUGUAGAGCUUCUUCUUUAGGUGGUAGAUUUUAGGGGUCACCUUCGAAGAGCAAAGAAAUUGAGAGAAAAACAUAAAUACUCCGAAAGAAAACAAAGGAAAUGGAGAAAAUAAGUUUGGACCCAAAAACUAAAGUAAAGAUUAUGCUUUGGAUGUAAACUAAUGCAGAUCUUACUAAUUUUUCUUUUACCCUUUCUCUAUUUAUUUUUAUUCUAUAUCUUUAAGAUCUUAAAAACAAGCUUUCAUAUUAGUCUAUAUUCACGAACAAAUGAUUUUUCUUUCGGAACAAUCUUAAAUUUUGUCUUUAAAACUCCAUACAACACCUGAUCAAGGCACGCUAAUCUCUAUAAAAUCCACAAUAAAAAAAACCCUAGUAAUAAUGCCAACAUUGGCACACCAAUCUCUAUAAAAUCCACACUCAAAUCUCUUAAUAAAAAAAACCCUGAUAAUAAUGCCAUCAAUGAAACCCAACUUUUCAAUUCAAUCAAAGACCUCCCUUUAGCAUAUGCAUUAUUCUUUUCCUUUCAAAUAUCCUUCACACAUGGCUUUCUUGAAUCCCACAGAACCCCGCAAUUGAAAACAACUUUACCCUACUUAGCCUCUGAUGAAUGAUGAAAUUUUAUCAGAUUUAUAUAAAAAUUUUAUCAGAUCUAUAUAAAUCUAAAGGGCAUGAAACCAUAAUUCAUUAAUCUUGUGUUUUCUUUUAUGGUGUUGGAUUUGGUUAGACAAGAAAAUUUGUUGACCAGCGAGUAGUUCUCUAUGCUCCCAGUUCAAUCGGACUUCUGUUCUAUGUGCAUUUCACUCGUUUUUGACUGAUAGUAAAUUUUUUAUCAUGUAUAUAUCAUUUGAGAUAUACCGGUUGGAAAUCUGAGUAGAAGUGAAUUUUUGGUAUUCCAGUUUGUAAAUAUAUUUUGUAACUGGCAAAGGAAUGGCGAUUUUUAAAUGGCCUAAACUGGAUGGGUAUCGGGUUUCUGUCUACCAUUUUCAUUAAGUGUAGUUGGGCAAACAUUUGUAAUCGGUUGCUGCAAGAAAGAUGCGUGAAUGGUUACAAGUCCGAAAUAUUAUUAGUUUGAGAGUUUAGCUACUCCAACUUCACUAUAGAUGGCAUAACAUAAAGAAGGAGAAGAGAAAUCUACAGAAGCGUUAUUUGUAAGUUAUAUAGAUGAUUGAAAAUUGAUCUUAUAUAUUUUGCUACUGAAAUUACUUUGAUUCAAGUAUCCAUGUUAACAUAUAAGCUUGAAUAAUACACAAAACAGAAACUACAGAAGCGUUCUACCCGAGACAAACUCGGUGAAGGCCAACGCAACCAAACCCAACAUGGCAAAUCUACCGUUCCACAUCUCAGCAUCAGAUGUCAUUACGCCAUCUGACUUGGAUUCCGCGCUGACCCCUUUGAAUAGUGGGACCAAAGACGCGACAGAGAGCAGAAUACUUGUUCCGACGAACCACGAGACUCCACCGUUAGAUAUCUGAGAAAAAAGGUCUUGGCCCUUGGACAGUUCCACUGCCAUUGCAGCGACAAAGCCUAUCAUGGCAAGCCUGCCAUUGAUCCUCUCUGGUGCGGGUCCGCUAAAUGCCAACACAUCAGCGAAUUUUGUGCUGACCUGUUAAUCAUCAUCAUGCAUGCGUUUAUAUUAGAAGUGUAAGCAUAAAUGCAAUCAAAAAGUCCAUGCUCUACUUAAAUUGUUAAAAUUAAAC
This 6210-nucleotide long non-coding RNA is filed under the name Populus trichocarpa (black cottonwood). RNAcentral's name for it is "long non-coding RNA (PTRI_LNC002176)". The record is from RNAcentral. Lineage: Eukaryota; Viridiplantae; Streptophyta; Magnoliopsida; Malpighiales; Salicaceae.